UACGUAGGGGGCGAGCGUUGUCCGAAGUUACUGGGCGUAAAGCGCGCGUAGGCGGUCUCUUAAGUCUGGGGUGAAAGGUUCAGCGCUCAACGCGAACAGUGCCCUGGAGACUGGGGGACUUGAGUGUGGGAGGGGGCAGUGGAAUUCCGGGUGUAGCGGUGAAAUGCGUAGAGAUCCGGAGGAACACCGAUGGCGAAGGCAGCUGCCUGGCCUAACACUGACGCUGAGGUGCGAAAGCGUGGGGAGCGAACGGG
Molecule: ribosomal RNA, 254 nt
Filed under: uncultured bacterium
Lineage: Bacteria
Description: partial 16S ribosomal RNA
Rfam family: Bacterial small subunit ribosomal RNA
Source: RNAcentral